CAGGGCUCGAACCUGUGUCCUCUGCAUUUAGCUGGCAGAUUCUCAACCACUGCGCCACCAGGGAAGCCCCGUCCUGUGACUAUUGAAUUGAUACACUAAAUAUCUAACUUCACAAAAAUAAAUCUUUUUUAUGGCACACCGAAGAUUUUCUCUCUGAAGUUCCCAUGAGCAGUGUUAUUUAUCUAUAAAGAAGUCUCCUCCAAGAAAGCAGCAACAGCGAGCUCAUGGUGCAGCCUUUCUUCCAGAACAGAGGGGCUCGACUCUCACUGGCAUUAUUAGGCAGACUUCAUGAGACUUUGAAGUGGCCGCUGUACCAAAUGGAAACAGAGUAUCUGGUUUCCCAUCUCAAGGACAAUCCUUUGACAUGAAAAUUGUCAUCCCCUUUUUACAGGAUUUGAAGGAAGAAUGGAUCCAAGAGCAAAAAGGCAGCUCCACCUAACCCUGGGAAGGACCGAUAAGCAACUCAGGGUGCAGCUACUAAGAAAGCAGGAGGAAAGUGAGCUGGAAGCUACUCUUCUUCAUGUAGAAAUGAAUCCUCAGACCAAAAGUUUCAA
Non-coding RNA from Delphinapterus leucas (beluga whale), 554 nucleotides. The record is from RefSeq and is a predicted model, not a curated record. NCBI's taxonomy places the organism in Eukaryota, Metazoa, Chordata, Mammalia, Artiodactyla, Monodontidae.